This 256-nucleotide ribosomal RNA is filed under the name uncultured Pseudomonas sp. Its description in RNAcentral is "partial 16S ribosomal RNA". It matches the Rfam family "Bacterial small subunit ribosomal RNA", at positions 96 to 355 of the family's 1533-position model. Lineage: Bacteria; Pseudomonadati; Pseudomonadota; Gammaproteobacteria; Pseudomonadales; Pseudomonadaceae. The record is from RNAcentral.
CGGCGGACGGGUGAGUAAUGCCUAGGAAUCUGCCUGGUAGUGGGGGACGAACGUUUCGAAAGGAACGCUAAUACCGCAUACGUCCUACGGGAGAAAGCAGGGACCUUCGGGCCUUGCGCUAUCAGAUGAGCCUAGGUCGGAUUAGCUAGUUGGUGAGGUAAUGGCUCACCAAGGCGACGAUCCGUAACUGGUCUGAGAGGAUGAUCAGUCACACUGGAACUGAGACACGGUCCAGACUCCUACGGGAGGCAGCAGC